RNAcentral lists this ribosomal RNA (467 nucleotides) under uncultured bacterium. RNAcentral describes it as "partial 16S ribosomal RNA". It matches the Rfam family "Bacterial small subunit ribosomal RNA", at positions 29 to 507 of the family's 1533-position model. The record is from RNAcentral.
ACGCACGCUGGCGGCGUGCUUAACCCCUGCAAGUCGCACGGAAAGGCCCUGCUUUUGUGGGGUGCUCGAGUGGCGAACGGGUGAGUAACACGUGAGUAACCUGCCCUUGACUUUGGGAUAACUUCAGGAAACUGGGGCUAAUACCGGAUAGGAGCUCCUGCUGCAUGGUGGGGGUUGGAAAGUUACGGCGGUUGGGGAUGGACUCGCGGCUUAUCAGCUUGUUGGUGGGGUAGUGGCUUACCAAGGCUUUGACGGGUAGCCGGCCUGAGAGGGUGACCGGCCACAUUGGGACUGAGAUACGGCCCAGACUCCUACGGGAGGCAGCAGUGGGGAAUAUUGCACAAUGGGCGGAAGCCUGAUGCAGCAACGCCGCGUGCGGGAUGACGGCCUUCGGGUUGUAAACCGCUUUCGCCUGUGACGAAGCGUGAGUGACGGUAAUGGGUAAGGAAGCACCGGCUAACUACGUG